This 549-nucleotide ribosomal RNA is filed under the name uncultured Glomeromycotina. RNAcentral describes it as "SSU rRNA". It matches the Rfam family "Eukaryotic small subunit ribosomal RNA", at positions 548 to 1098 of the family's 1831-position model. The record is from RNAcentral. Lineage: Eukaryota; Fungi; Glomeromycota.
UUGGAGGGCAAGUCUGGUGCCAGCAGCCGCGGUAAUUCCAGCUCCAAUAGCGUAUAUUAAAGUUGUUGCAGUUAAAAAGCUCGUAGUUGAAUUUCGGGGUCAGUAGGUCGGUCGUGCCACUGGUAUGAACUGGUUUUACUGAUUCCUCCCUCUUGAAGAACUGUAAUGCCAUUAAUUUGGUGUUGCAGGGAAUCAGGACUGUUACUUUGAAAAAAUUAGAGUGUUUAAAGCAGGCUUUAGCUUGAAUACAUUAGCAUGGAAUAAUGAAAUAGGACGUUUGAUCCUAUUUUGUUGGUUUCUAGGAUUGACGUAAUGAUUAAUAGGGAUAGUUGGGGGCAUUAGUAUUCAAUUGUCAGAGGUGAAAUUCUUGGAUUUAUUGAAGACUAACUACUGCGAAAGCAUUUGCCAAGGAUGUUUUCAUUAAUCAAGAACGAAAGUUAGGGGAUCGAAGACGAUCAGAUACCGUCGUAGUCUUAACCAUAAACUAUGCCGACUAGGGAUCGGAUGAUGUUAAUUUUUUAAUGACUCAUUCGGCGCUUUACGGGAAAC